This 339-nucleotide unclassified non-coding RNA is filed under the name soil metagenome. Its description in RNAcentral is "partial contains 5.8S ribosomal RNA, internal transcribed spacer 2, and large subunit ribosomal RNA". The stretch from base 1 to 120 matches the Rfam family "5.8S ribosomal RNA", at positions 35 to 154 of the family's 154-position model. The record is from RNAcentral.
GAUGAAGAACGCAGCGAAAUGCGAUAAGUAGUGUGAAUUGCAGAAUUCAGUGAAUCAUCGAAUCUUUGAACGCACAUUGCGCCCCUCGGUAUUCCGUGGGGCAUGCCUGUUCGAGCGUCAUUUAACCCCUCAAGCCUAGCUUGGUAUUGGGUGCUUGUCCCGCCUCUCGCGCGGCGACUCACCUCAAAGUCAUUGGCAGCCCGCAUCUCGCCGGCCGUGAGCGCAGCACAGACGCGCUCUUGGCAACGACGGAUCGGCUCUCCAAAAGCUUAUUUCAACCACUGACCUCGGAUCAGGUAGGACUACCCGCUGAACUUAAGCAUAUCAAUAAGCGGAGGA